AACGAACGCUGGCGGCAUGCCUAACACAUGCAAGUCGAACGAGACCUUCGGGUCUAGUGGCGCACGGGUGCGUAACGCGUGGGAACCUGCCCUUAGGUUCGGAAUAACUCCCCGAAAGGGGUGCUAAUACCGGAUAAUGUCUUCGGACCAAAGAUUUAUUGCCUUUGGAUGGGCCCGCGUUGGAUUAGGUAGUUGGUAGGGUAAAAGCCUACCAAGGCGACGAUCCAUAGCUGGUCUGAGAGGAUGCUCAGCCACACUGGGACUGAGACACGGCCCAGACUCCUACGGGAGGCAGCAGUAGGGAAUAUUGGACAAUGGGCGAAAGCCUGAUCCAGCAAUGCCGCGUGAGUGAUGAAGGCCUUAGGGUUGUAAAGCUCUUUUACCCGGGAUGAUAAUGACAGUACCGGGAGAAUAAGCACCGGCUAACUCCGUG
This 433-nucleotide ribosomal RNA is filed under the name uncultured bacterium. Its description in RNAcentral is "partial 16S ribosomal RNA". It matches the Rfam family "Bacterial small subunit ribosomal RNA", at positions 29 to 507 of the family's 1533-position model. The record is from RNAcentral.